GUCCACGCCGUAAACGAUGAAUACUAGGUGUCUGGGAGCACAGCUCUUAGGUGCCGCCGCAAACGCAUUAAGUAUUCCACCUGGGGAGUACGUUCGCAAGAAUGAAACUCAAAAGGAAUUGACGGGGACCCGCACAAGCGGUGGAGCAUGUGGUUUAAUUCGAAGCAACGCGAAGAACCUUACCAAAUCUUGACAUCCCUCUGACCGGGACUUAACCGUCCCUUUCCUUCGGGACAGGGGAGACAGGUGGUGCAUGGUUGUCGU
RNAcentral lists this ribosomal RNA (264 nucleotides) under uncultured bacterium. RNAcentral's name for it is "partial 16S ribosomal RNA". It matches the Rfam family "Bacterial small subunit ribosomal RNA", at positions 793 to 1055 of the family's 1533-position model. The record is from RNAcentral.